RNAcentral lists this ribosomal RNA (227 nucleotides) under uncultured bacterium. RNAcentral's name for it is "partial 16S ribosomal RNA". It matches the Rfam family "Bacterial small subunit ribosomal RNA", at positions 109 to 334 of the family's 1533-position model. The record is from RNAcentral.
AGUAACGCGUGGGUGACGUACCUAUAGGUGGGGAAUAACUGCCCGAAAGGGUGGCUAAUACCGCAUACGUCCACUGGAGCGGUCCAGUGGGGAAAGCUUCGCAAGAGGCGCCGAUGGAGCGGCCCGCGUCCGAUUAGCUGGUUGGUGGGGUAACGGCCUACCAAGGCGGCGAUCGGUAGCUGGUCUCAGAGGAUGAUCAGCCAGACUGGGACUGAGACACGGCCCAG